GCAUCCAUAGAUCAAUUGGAUAGAUCGUUUGACUACGGAUCAAAAGGUUAGGGGUUCGAGUCCUCUUGGAUGCGCCA
This 77-nucleotide transfer RNA is filed under the name bacterium. RNAcentral's name for it is "tRNA-Arg". It matches the Rfam family "tRNA". Rfam says of the family: Transfer RNA (tRNA) molecules are approximately 80 nucleotides in length. Their secondary structure includes four short double-helical elements and three loops (D, anti-codon, and T loops). Further hydrogen bonds mediate the characteristic L-shaped molecular structure. tRNAs have two regions of fundamental functional importance: the anti-codon, which is responsible for specific mRNA codon recognition, and the 3' end, to which the tRNAs corresponding amino acid is attached (by aminoacyl-tRNA synthetases). tRNAs cope with the degeneracy of the genetic code in two manners: having more than one tRNA (with a specific anti-codon) for a particular amino acid; and 'wobble' base-pairing, i.e. permitting non-standard base-pairing at the 3rd anti-codon position. RNAcentral also lists the same sequence under 2 other names. The record is from RNAcentral.